This 395-nucleotide ribosomal RNA is filed under the name uncultured bacterium. RNAcentral describes it as "bacterial SSU rRNA". It matches the Rfam family "Bacterial small subunit ribosomal RNA", at positions 505 to 898 of the family's 1533-position model. The record is from RNAcentral.
GUGUCAGCAGCCGCGGUAAUACGGAGGGUGCAAGCGUUGUUCGGAAUUAUUGGGCGUAAAGCGCGUGUAGGCGGUCUUUUAAGUCUGAUGUGAAAGCCCCGGGCUCAACCUGGGAAGUGCAUUGGAAACUGGGAGGCUUGAGUACGGGAGAGGAGAGUGGAAUUCCUAGUGUAGGAGUGAAAUCCGUAGAUAUUAGGAGGAACACCGGUGGCGAAGGCGGCUCUCUGGACCGAUACUGACGCUGAGACGCGAAAGCGUGGGUAGCAAACAGGAUUAGAUACCCUGGUAGUCCACGCCGUAAACGAUGAGUACUAGGUGUUGCGGGUAUUGACCCCUGCAGUGCCGUAGCUAACGCAUUAAGUACUCCGCCUGGGAAGUACGGUCGCAAGACUAAA